Molecule: ribosomal RNA, 253 nt
Filed under: uncultured prokaryote
Description: partial 16S ribosomal RNA
Rfam family: Bacterial small subunit ribosomal RNA
Source: RNAcentral
ACGUAGGGACCAAGCGUUGUUCGGAUUUACUGGGCGUAAAGGGCGCGUAGGCGGCAGAUCAAGUCAGCUGUGAAAUCUCAGGGCUUAACCCUGAACGGUCAGCUGAUACUGUUUUGCUAGAGUACAGAAGGGGCAAUCGGAAUUCUUGGUGUAGCGGUGAAAUGCGUAGAUAUCAAGAGGAACACCUGAGGUGAAGACGGGUUGCUGGGCUGAUACUGACGCUGAGGCGCGAAAGCUAGGGUAGCAAACGGGA